UGGGUAAUCUUUGAACGUGAAUCGUGCUGGGGAUAGAUGAUUGCAAUUAUUCAUCUUCAACGAGGAAUUCCUAGUAAACGCAAGUCAUCAGCUUGCAUUGAUUACGUCCCUGCCCUUUGUACACACCGCCCGUCGCACCUACCGAUUGAAUGGUCCGGUGAAAUCUUCGGAUCUGAGAGAUGUUGGAUUAAUUUCUGACGCCUUUUGGAAAAGUCGCUUAAACCUUAUCAUUUAGAGGAAGGUGAAGUCGUAACAAGGUUUCCGUAGGUGAACCUGCGGAAGGAUCAUUA
RNAcentral lists this ribosomal RNA (290 nucleotides) under uncultured stramenopile. Its description in RNAcentral is "partial 18S ribosomal RNA". It matches the Rfam family "Eukaryotic small subunit ribosomal RNA", at positions 1543 to 1831 of the family's 1831-position model. The record is from RNAcentral.